AACGAACGCUGGCGGCGUGGAUUAGGCAUGCAAGUCGAACGCGAAAGAGGGAGCAAUCCCUCGAGUAGAGUGGCGAACGGGUGAGUAACGCGUGAAGAACCUGCCUUCAACAGGGGGAUAACACUCCCAACGGGGUGCUAAUACCGCAUGAGACCACGGGGUCGCAUGGCCCUGAGGUCAAAGGUGGCCUCUAUUUAUAAGCUACCGGUUGAAGAUGGCUUCGCGUCCCAUUAGCAGUUGGCGGUGUAAAAGACCACCAAGGCGACGAUGGGUAGCUGGUCUGAGAGGAUGGUCAGCCACACUGGGACUGAGAUACGGCCCAGACUCCUACGGGAGGCAGCAGUGAGGAAUCUUGCGCAAUGGGCGAAAGCCUGACGCAGCAACGCCGCGUGGAUGAUGAAGGCC
Molecule: ribosomal RNA, 405 nt
Filed under: uncultured bacterium
Lineage: Bacteria
Description: bacterial SSU rRNA
Rfam family: Bacterial small subunit ribosomal RNA
Source: RNAcentral